Long non-coding RNA from Planococcus citri (citrus mealybug), 811 nucleotides. RefSeq lists it as uncharacterized. The transcript has 2 exons. The record is from RefSeq and is a predicted model, not a curated record. Lineage: Eukaryota; Metazoa; Arthropoda; Insecta; Hemiptera; Pseudococcidae.
AUUAACCUUAACCCUUCCCUUAAAAAAAGCUCCUUUACUAUAUGAUAAAGACUUUCUAAACAUGUACAUACCUAGAAAUCGUAAAAUUUAUCUUGUAAAAAACAUGGUAUGUGCGUUGUUCUCGCAGGAAAUUCAAAAUCAUUGAUAACCAAACACGCUUCCUAUAAAAACAGCUUCAACCGUUCAAAAAAUUCAUUUCAGUGCGAAAUUUCACGCAGUCAAGUAGUGAGUACGUUUUUGACCGAAACGAACGGCUAAAUUUCAAAAAUGAAAUCUUUCUCGUUGAUUUCCGUUUUACUUUCCAUCUUCGCAUUUUUCAAAACCGUUACGGCCGGACCUUUUCUUGGACUCGUAGUAUGCGGAUUGCUGACCGGUGUUUUCUUCCUGUUGCUGGUCCUUUUGCCACCACUGACUACGUUCUUGGCUAUUGCACUUCUCCCCUUGCUCAUAUUCCUCUGUAUUCUCGGUUAUGUACUGUAAUUAGAUUCAACCCAAUUUCUUGAACUCAAUAACAACAACAAUGAAAAAAGCCCGGCCAUGGUUAAUUUGUAGCUUCCGAUUUCUUCCGUUUUUCAAUCGAUUUUAAUUUUAUAAUGGUGGUGGUGGUGGUGGUGAUGGUGAUUUUCAAAAACUGUACACACGAAUUUAGAAAUUUCUUACGUCGCAUACGCUUUUAAAUACGAAGUUAUUUCAUGACAUUUUGGUAAUAAAAUUUUUCGCGCCAAGAACUUUGUUCUUUUGUAACUCGUCAUUAAGUUUUAGCACAAUUGUAUCUACAUUGAAAUAUAAUACACGUAAUUUAAAUGGGGAA